Molecule: long non-coding RNA, 465 nt
Filed under: Spirodela polyrhiza (greater duckweed)
Lineage: Eukaryota; Viridiplantae; Streptophyta; Magnoliopsida; Alismatales; Araceae
Description: long non-coding RNA (SPOL_LNC000927)
Source: RNAcentral
GAACCCCAAGUUGGGAGGUGACGCGGCGUGAUCGUUCCACACGAGCAUCUCAUCUGGAAGAAGGAUAAUUACCGAUUGCUGUGGUUCUCGAUCGCCUGCGGCCCUGAGCCAAUCGUCAAGCCGAGAUUGAGCAAGAUCACGCUGUCUGGUGAGUUCUCUCAUCUCCGUUUCCAUCUGCAGAAUGAAGGCUGGGUUCAGUCGUAUGGUGAGCAGUGAGCUGCCCCUCUAAACCCAGAUCCCUGUUCUUAAUGUGGCCCGAAAGAAAGCCGGAUGCAUGGUCACCUUCUGAAUCUGGGCGUCUUUCUCUUUCAACAAGGUCUCGGAAUAAGAGCUGCUGGAAGGGAGGCCAGAGCAUCUCAGCUCGCCCUCCAAUCUCGCCAGCUCCUUCUGCAGGUGCUUGACCAGGGCCUUGUCCGACAUGACCACGUUGACCUGCGCGCUGGUGGCCACCUCCUUGGCGCAGCU